This 240-nucleotide unclassified non-coding RNA is filed under the name soil metagenome. RNAcentral describes it as "partial contains 5.8S ribosomal RNA, internal transcribed spacer 2, and large subunit ribosomal RNA". The record is from RNAcentral.
AACGGUCUAUACCUGCGGUACCUGCGGAAGGAUCAUUACUGAGUGAGGGCCCUCUGGGUCCAACCUCCCACCCGUGUCUCUUGUACCAUGUUGCUUCGGCGAGCCCGCCUCACGGCCGCCGGGGGGCAUCUGCCCCCGGGCCCGCGCCCGCCGAAGCCCCCUCUGAACGCUGUCUGAAGAUUGCAGUCUGAGCGAUAAGCAAAAAUUAUUUAAAACUUUUAACAAUGGAUCUCUAGAUCG